AGCCAUUUCAGGUCUUGCCUUUCCCAGUUAAACUCGAUAUCAGCAACCUCUGUUUUCUGGCAUCAGCUGAAAGCAGGAGCCAAUCAACAAGGUGGGAGGGUUUUAAAUCGAGGAGCAGGUGGCUCUUUUUCUCUCCUCUGCUGAGACACACGCUUCGCUGGGCCGAAUUCAGUCUCUUGUAUUGACUGGUGAUCUGUCACUUGGGCCUACCCAAAACUCCAAAUGGACUCAUCCGAUGCUGCAUUCACCCUGGCCCGUCCCGCCGAAGAAGUCAGACUGGGAUGGAGAGAAAUCAGGCCGUGGGCACGCAAGGAAAAACUUCUUCUCCAGAGAGAAGCCGAGACGGUCUUGGAAUCUUAGAGCUUUAACGAUGUCUUUCUGAGGCGAUGGGUGACGCCCAGCCGACUGCCUGAUGAUUGUGGCACGGAUGAUGAACAAAGAAAGCUUCAAAGGAAAUAGUUUCCAUCAUCACUACACGUACUUCUUUCGGGCCACGGAGGGUCACCCGUGGCAGCCGCCUUCCGAGAAGCUCUGCAGGAGGGUGGAAUUAUAGUAAUUGCUGAGAUUUGGCUUUGUGAACCUUUCCCCGUCCUCGCUGGCACGUUGAUUUUUCUGUUCUUUAAGGCCUGAUCAUCCCAGGCCUCCACGAUCAGAAGAAUUAUCUUCCAAAACCCCACAUUUCCCAAAGUAAAAUUCGCUCUUGUUGGAGCCUAGUUCAGAACUCGGACUAAUGCGAAGUAAUCUCCUCGUGGGCAGGGAAUGUGUCACUUCUCCGUUUUUCCCUCAUGUUUAGCACAGCGCAUUGGACCCAAAGGGAUGCUUAAUAA
Molecule: long non-coding RNA, 827 nt
Organism: Ornithorhynchus anatinus (platypus)
Lineage: Eukaryota; Metazoa; Chordata; Mammalia; Monotremata; Ornithorhynchidae
Exons: 3
Source: RefSeq, a predicted model, not a curated record